Molecule: ribosomal RNA, 253 nt
Filed under: uncultured bacterium
Lineage: Bacteria
Description: partial 16S ribosomal RNA
Rfam family: Bacterial small subunit ribosomal RNA
Source: RNAcentral
UACGAAGGGGGCUAGCGUUGCUCGGAAUCACUGGGCGUAAAGCGCACGUAGGCGGCUUUUUAAGUCAGAGGUGAAAUCCUGGAGCUCAACUCCAGAACUGCCUUUGAUACUGACUGUCUUGAGUAUGGGAGAGGUAUGCGGAACUCCGAGUGUAGAGGUGAAAUUCGUAGAUAUUCGGAAGAACACCAGUGGCGAAGGCGGCAUACUGGCCCAUUACUGACGCUGAGGCUCGAAAGCGUGGGGAGCAAACAGG